GACGUAGGGUCCGAGCGUUGUCCGGAGUUAUUGGGCGUAAAGGGCGCGUAGGCGGGCUGUCCAGUCUGGGGUGAAAUCCCGCGGCUCAACCGUGGAACUGCCUUAGAUACUGACGGCCUCGAGGGAGAUAGGGGCAUGCGGAACUGUAGGUGGAGCGGUGAAAUGCGUUGAUAUCUACAGGAACUCCGGUGGCGAAGGCGGCGUGCUGGAUCUCUUCUGACGCUGAGGCGCGAAAGCUAGGGGAGCAAACGGG
Molecule: ribosomal RNA, 253 nt
Filed under: uncultured bacterium
Lineage: Bacteria
Description: partial 16S ribosomal RNA
Rfam family: Bacterial small subunit ribosomal RNA
Source: RNAcentral